CAACUACAAAAGAGAGAGCCUUUUCGUGGUGUAGUUGAUAAGUAAGUCGAAAGACUGAAACUAAUACUCUC
This 71-nucleotide non-coding RNA is filed under the name unclassified sequences. The record is from RNAcentral.